RNAcentral lists this ribosomal RNA (421 nucleotides) under uncultured bacterium. RNAcentral describes it as "bacterial SSU rRNA". It matches the Rfam family "Bacterial small subunit ribosomal RNA", at positions 355 to 773 of the family's 1533-position model. The record is from RNAcentral.
UGAGGAAUAUUGGUCAAUGGGGGCAACCCUGAACCAGCCAAGUCGCGUGAAGGAUGAAGGUCUUAUGGAUUGUAAACUUCUUUUAUACAGGAAUAAAUUGGGGGACGUGUCCCCUUUUGCAUGUACUGUAUGAAUAAGGAUCGGCUAACUCCGUGCCAGCAGCCGCGGUAAUACGGAGGAUCCGAGCGUUAUCCGGAUUUAUUGGGUUUAAAGGGUGCGCAGGCGGGAUGUUAAGUCGGCGGUGAAAUUUUGCAGCUCAACUGUAAAAGUGCCUUCGAUACUGGCCUCCUUGAGUGUGGAUGAAGUAGGCUGAAUUUGUGGUGUAGCGGUGAAAUGCUUAGAUAUCACGAGGAACUCCGAUUGCGCAGGCAGCUUACUAAGCCACAACUGACGCUCAUGCACGAAGGCGUGGGGAUCAAAC